Molecule: ribosomal RNA, 447 nt
Filed under: Veillonella parvula
Lineage: Bacteria; Bacillati; Bacillota; Negativicutes; Veillonellales; Veillonellaceae
Description: bacterial SSU rRNA
Rfam family: Bacterial small subunit ribosomal RNA
Source: RNAcentral
GACGAACGCUGGCGGCGUGCUUAACACAUGCAAGUCGAACGAAGAGCGACGGAAGCUUGCUUCUAUCAAUCUUAGUGGCGAACGGGUGAGUAACGCGUAAUCAACCUGCCCUUCAGAGGGGGACAACAGUUGGAAACGACCGCUAAUACCGCAUACGAUCUAAUCUCGGCAUCGAGGAUGGAUGAAAGGUGGCCUCUACAUGUAAGCUAUCACUGAAGGAGGGGAUUGCGUCUGAUUAGCUAGUUGGAGGGGUAACGGCCCACCAAGGCGAUGAUCAGUAGCCGGUCUGAGAGGAUGAACGGCCACAUUGGGACUGAGACACGGCCCAGACUCCUACGGGAGGCAGCAGUGGGGAAUCUUCCGCAAAUGGACGAAAAGUCUGACGGAGCAAACGCCGCGUGAAGUGAAGACGGCCUUUCGGGUUGUAAAAGCUUCUGUUAAUUCGGG